GCGAACGCUGGCGGCAGGCUUAACACAUGCAAGUCGAGCGGGCAUCUUCGGAUGUCAGCGGCAGACGGGUGAGUAACACGUGGGAACGUACCCUUCGGUUCGGAACAACUCUGGGAAACUGGAGCUAAUACCGGAUACGCCCUUAUGGGGAAAGGUUUACUGCCGAAGGAUCGGCCCGCGUCUGAUUAGCUAGUUGGUGGGGUAACGGCCUACCAAGGCGACGAUCAGUAGCUGGUCUGAGAGGAUGAUCAGCCACACUGGGACUGAGACACGGCCCAGACUCCUACGGGAGGCAGCAGUGGGGAAUAUUGGACAAUGGGCGCAAGCCUGAUCCAGCCAUGCCGCGUGAGUGAUGAAGGCCUUAGGGUUGUAAAGCUCUUUUGUCCGGGACGAUAAUGACGGUACCGGAAGAAUAAGCCCCGGCUAACUUCG
RNAcentral lists this ribosomal RNA (432 nucleotides) under uncultured bacterium. Its description in RNAcentral is "partial 16S ribosomal RNA". It matches the Rfam family "Bacterial small subunit ribosomal RNA", at positions 29 to 505 of the family's 1533-position model. The record is from RNAcentral.